GAUGAACGCUGGCGGCGUGCCUAAUACAUGCAAGUCGAGCGAACGAACGAGAAGCUUGCUUCUCUGAUGUUAGCGGCGGACGGGUGAGUAACACGUGGAUAACCUACCUAUAAGACUGGGAUAACUUCGGGAAACCGGAGCUAAUACCGGAUAAUAUUUUGAACCGCAUGGUUCAAAAGUGAAAGACGGUCUUGCUGUCACUUAUAGAUGGAUCCGCGCUGCAUUAGCUAGUUGGUAAGGUAACGGCUUACCAAGGCAACGAUGCAUAGCCGACCUGAGAGGGUGAUCGGCCACACUGGAACUGAGACACGGUCCAGACUCCUACGGGAGGCAGCAGUAGGGAAUCUUCCGCAAUGGGCGAAAGCCUGACGGAGCAACGCCGCGUGAGUGAUGAAGGUCUUCGGAUCGUAAAACUCUGUUAUUAGGGAAGAACAUAUGUGUAAGUAACUGUGCACAUCUUGACGGUACCUAAUCAGAAAGCCACGGCUAACUACGUGCCAGCAGCCGCGGUAAUACGUAGGUGGCAAGCGUUAUCCGGAAUUAUUGGGCGUAAAGCGCGCGUAGGCGGUUUUUUAAGUCUGAUGUGAAAGCCCACGGCUCAACCGUGGAGGGUCAUUGGAAACUGGAAAACUUGAGUGCAGAAGAGGAAAGUGGAAUUCCAUGUGUAGCGGUGAAAUGCGCAGAGAUAUGGAGGAACACCAGUGGCGAAGGCGACUUUCUGGUCUGUAACUGACGCUGAUGUGCGAAAGCGUGGGGAUCAAACAGGAUUAGAUACCCUGGUAGUCCACGCCGUAAACGAUGAGUGCUAAGUGUUAGGGGGUUUCCGCCCCUUAGUGCUGCAGCUAACGCAUUAAGCACUCCGCCUGGGGAGUACGACCGCAAGGUUGAAACUCAAAGGAAUUGACGGGGACCCGCACAAGCGGUGGAGCAUGUGGUUUAAUUCGAAGCAACGCGAAGAACCUUACCAAAUCUUGACAUCCUUUGACAACUCUAGAGAUAGAGCUUUCCCCUUCGGGGGACAAAGUGACAGGUGGUGCAUGGUUGUCGUCAGCUCGUGUCGUGAGAUGUUGGGUUAAGUCCCGCAACGAGCGCAACCCUUAAGCUUAGUUGCCAUCAUUAAGUUGGGCACUCUAAGUUGACUGCCGGUGACAAACCGGAGGAAGGUGGGGAUGACGUCAAGUCAUCAUGCCCCUUAUGAUUUGGGCUACACACGUGCUACAAUGGACAAUACAAAGGGCAGCGAAACCGUGAGGUCAAGCAAAUCCCAUAAAGUUGUUCUCAGUUCGGAUUGUAGUCUGCAACUCGACUACAUGAAGCUGGAAUCGCUAGUAAUCGUAGAUCAGCAUGCUACGGUGAAUACGUUCCCGGGUCU
Molecule: ribosomal RNA, 1372 nt
Filed under: uncultured bacterium
Lineage: Bacteria
Description: bacterial SSU rRNA
Rfam family: Bacterial small subunit ribosomal RNA
Source: RNAcentral